UUCUAAGCAAAAAAUUUUAGCAGCCCUGAAGCCAGCCACUAGCUAACUAGAUAGGAAACAGGCAUUUACAAAGUAGUCAUGGAGUUAAGAUAGGCAGAAAGUCUGCAAAUCUCCAAAAGUGCUCCUUUACAAACAGGACUGUGAGAGACGCCAUUCCGGAGCAUCCCAGAGAGGUAGGUGAAACUAGUGACGGGUUCUCAAGGAGUCCAUACGGGUCAGCAGAGUUUGCCUUCACCUCAAGUUUCCUGAACAAAGAACUUUCCAAACAGGAUGGCAGAAGAGGCCAUUUCUUCUCCCCCACCCUCAAGGGCUACUUAGUCUGAGGCUUUCAUGCAAAUCCCCACACAAUCUUAAGACACCCCAGAAGUGUGGGAUACCAUAAUAUCUUUGGGAAAGAUCAGACGUACUACAACCUGCUCUAAAAUCUACCCCCCAGGCCCAUGAAGGGAGUCUGAGGGGCUGGAGAGAAGUGUUCAGAGACUAGACCAUCUCUAUCGGAGUCCAUGGGCUGUGACAAGUGGAGUUAGGCUGAAGGGUGGGGGCCCCAGUAGCCAGAGCUUCCCUCAGGAGAGCUCCCUCCCCAGGGCACAGAAGCGGGAGGUUCCCUAUUCCUCGAGCAGCGACUUCCGUUCUCCCUGCCAGGAGGCUUCGACUUGAAGAUCCAGCUACAUAUACCCCCUUCCCCACUGACCAUCACCCACCAAUGGUUCCAGGAUACGUGAGUUACCGAACCAGCCUAUACGUCUUAAGUGAAGAGCUGACACCAGAGCCAACCUGGAAGACACACACUGCUUAGGCAAAACUUGAGCGCAGUUUGCACUAAGGGGAGGGCGCUACGCGUAAGAGGAGCCUCUCGGCCACCACACUUGGAGCUCAGAGCAGGUGACUUAAGCAGGGAAGGGAGUACAGGGCUGUCAGUAGUUACUAGACCAGCAGUAAGCCAAGCUCCCUAUGGUUACCACUGGAGCCUCAUGGCUUGGAGUUAACCUUUAGUUUACCCUAUUUUAAUAAGUCAAGUGCUCAGACAGCUUAAGCAACUAACUCAAAACAUGAGAAAUAAAUGACCGAGGCCAGACUUAAGCCAUGCCUGGCCCUGAAGCCUUUAGGCUCUGGGGCCCACCACACUUCUCUGCCAUUGAGGACCUAUUAGGGAGAGUCAGGCAGAGUCAAGCUUUGUCACAAGCAGCUUCCCUGUAGGGAGUUCUACAGUCUAGAUUCUGCUAGUUCCUGAUCCUCGUUCUCCACUCAGACGGGAGGCGUUCUCACGGUGUAAAGUAGGAUACAAGAAGCCCAGACAAGCAGUUGGAUU
Molecule: long non-coding RNA, 1309 nt
Filed under: Equus caballus (horse)
Lineage: Eukaryota; Metazoa; Chordata; Mammalia; Perissodactyla; Equidae
Description: lncRNA (ENSECAG00000053815.1)
Source: RNAcentral